This 431-nucleotide ribosomal RNA is filed under the name uncultured bacterium. RNAcentral describes it as "partial 16S ribosomal RNA". It matches the Rfam family "Bacterial small subunit ribosomal RNA", at positions 29 to 507 of the family's 1533-position model. The record is from RNAcentral.
AACGAACGCUGGCGGCAGGCUUAACACAUGCAAGUCGAGCGCCCCGCAAGGGUAGCGGCAGACGGGUUAGUAACGCGUGGGAACGUACCUUUUGGUUCGGAACAACUCCGGGAAACUGGAGCUAAUACCGGAUAAGCCCUAACGGGGAAAGAUUUAUCGCCGAAAGAUCGGCCCGCGUCUGAUUAGCUAGUUGGUGAGGUAACGGCUCACCAAGGCGACGAUCAGUAGCUGGUCUGAGAGGAUGAUCAGCCACACUGGGACUGAGACACGGCCCAGACUCCUACGGGAGGCAGCAGUGGGGAAUAUUGGAAAAUGGGCGCCAGCCUGAUCCAGUCAUGCCGCGUGAGUGAUGAAGUCCUUAGGGUUGUAAAGCUCUUUUGUCCGGGAAGAUAAUGACGGUACCGGAAGAAUAAGCCCCGGCUAACUUCGUG